UACACUGGACAAGAAAUAUUUUUCACACACAAACACAUGAAGGAAGAUAUUCAUAUUUCGAAAAUGAAGCAACUGAAAAUGAAUACCGAACUAAACCAGACCUGAUUGUAACAAUUCAUCUUCGAGGCGGCCUUCUCAAUCUCAAGACAUCCAAGGCACAUAGCUUGGCUUGGAUAGACCUAUCUGUCUUUGCAACGCCGUAUAGAAUCACCUGGGACUACUAUUUCUCUGCCCUAGAUCAUACUUUGAACUCUGAUUCAUGGGAAGAGACAGCUGAGUUGGGUUAUGUAAGGCCUUUGAUUAGUUCUCUCCUUGUAACGUGAUGAGAACGAGAAGGUAAAACAUUUGUUAGCAUUAGUGGUUUAACAUUGAAGGAUACUUCAAAGUAGCUUUACAUCCUGAUAUUCAGCUGGAUCGAUACUCUAUCACGUAACUACCAACCUCCCCUUGAUGCUCACUUGGUAAUUUCUGUCAUGUCUAUUCGGACUCGUGUACAACCUGCAUAUGCUGUUAAUAUGUGGAACGAGGCACUCAAUAAACGACGGCUCGGUACAGAGGAACUGGAUUUGUGUAUGGGAUUCUUGAAGAAACAAUGAGACGUGAAAUGUCAUUUGAUGAGGGAUGUUCCGCAACCCGUAGACACUUCCGUAGUUUUCCGCAACCCAUAGGCCCGUAGUCACUUCCGUAGCUUUCCGCAAUCCUUAGGCCCGUAGUCACCCCUGGCCCGAAACCAGCCGUUACUAAUAUCCAUUACCCAAGGGCCCAGCACCAACGCCGCGCUUAAAUUUAAACUUGGGGAGGGCGUAAAGCAUUUCGUGGCCACAAGGGGUAUUCGAACCUGGGUCCUUAUCGGCGUUGGAUUUUUAAGCAUUUCGUGGCCACAAGCCGUUACUAGUACCCAUUAUCUGAUUUUUAUUAAAUAUAAGUUGUUUUGAACUAAUGAAUUUGUGUUACAAAAAAAAAAUUAUGACUUACAACUGUAAAUUAAUUAAUUUCAGUCAGUUUUGGACUCAUGU
Raphanus sativus (radish) is the source of this 1016-nucleotide long non-coding RNA. RefSeq lists it as uncharacterized. NCBI's taxonomy places the organism in Eukaryota, Viridiplantae, Streptophyta, Magnoliopsida, Brassicales, Brassicaceae. The transcript is spliced from 5 exons. The record is from RefSeq and is a predicted model, not a curated record.